This 92-nucleotide small nucleolar RNA is filed under the name Candida maltosa Xu316. The record is from RNAcentral. Lineage: Eukaryota; Fungi; Ascomycota; Pichiomycetes; Serinales; Debaryomycetaceae.
UCACAAGAUGAGAUAUUCGUCGCCCCAGUCUGAAUCCCUUUUCAGGGUGAUGACUGAUUGACAUACAUAGCCAAACACUGAAAAUUCUGAUU